This is a small nuclear RNA of Coturnix japonica (Japanese quail), 191 nucleotides long. Its record names the gene U2. It matches the Rfam family "U2 spliceosomal RNA". From Rfam's summary of the family: U2 is a small nuclear RNA (snRNA) component of the spliceosome (involved in pre-mRNA splicing). The record is from Ensembl. NCBI's taxonomy places the organism in Eukaryota, Metazoa, Chordata, Aves, Galliformes, Phasianidae.
AUCGCUUCUCGGCCUUUUGGCUAAGAUCAAGUGUAGUAUCUGUUCUUAUCCGUUUAAUAUCUGAUACGUCCUCGGGGAGAGGACUUUAUAUUAAACGGAUUUUUGGGUGCGGGAGUUGGACCCGGAGCUUGCUCCCUCCGCUUCGCACAUCAUCCCGGUAUGGCAGUACCUCCGGGCAUGGCGCUCCUCCC